RNAcentral lists this ribosomal RNA (496 nucleotides) under uncultured bacterium. RNAcentral's name for it is "partial 16S ribosomal RNA". It matches the Rfam family "Bacterial small subunit ribosomal RNA", at positions 29 to 507 of the family's 1533-position model. The record is from RNAcentral.
AUGAACGCUGGCGGCGUGCCUAAUACAUGCCAGUCGAGCGAACAGACGAGGAGCUUGCUCCUCUGACGUUAGCGGCGGACGGGUGAGUAACACGUGGAUAACCUACCUAUAAGACUGGGAUAACUUCGGGAAACCGGAGCUAAUACCGGAUAAUAUAUUGAACCGCAUGGUUCAAUAGUGAAAGACGGUUUUGCUGUCACUUAUAGAUGGAUCCGCGCCGCAUUAGCUAGUUGGUAAGGUAACGGCUUACCAAGGCAACGAUGCGUAGCCGACCUGAGAGGGUGAUCGGCCACACUGGAACUGAGACACGGUCCAGACUCCUACGGGAGGCAGCAGUAGGGAAUCUUCCGCAAUGGGCGAAAGCCUGACGGAGCAACGCCGCGUGAGUGAUGAAGGUCUUCGGAUCGUAAAACUCUGUUAUUAGGGAAGAACAAAAGUGUAAGUAACUAUGCACGUCUUGACGGUACCUAAUCAGAAAGCCACGGCUAACUACGUG